Molecule: ribosomal RNA, 520 nt
Filed under: uncultured Glomus
Lineage: Eukaryota; Fungi; Glomeromycota; Glomeromycetes; Glomerales; Glomeraceae
Description: SSU rRNA
Rfam family: Eukaryotic small subunit ribosomal RNA
Source: RNAcentral
CGCAGCCGCGGUAAUUCCAGCUCCAAUAGCGUAUAUUAAAGUUGUUGCAGUUAAAAAGCUCGUAGUUGAAUUUCGGGAUCAAUACGUCGGUCGUGCUUCGGUACGUACUGGCGUCAUUGAUUUCUUCCUUCUGACGAACCAUGAUGUCAUUAACUUGGUGUCAUGGGAAAUCAGGACUGUUACUUUGAAAAAAUUAGAGUGUUUAAAGCAGGCUCACGCUUGAAUACAUUAGCAUGGAAUAAUGAAAUAGGACGUUCGAUCCUAUUUUGUUGGUUUUUAGGAUCAACGUAAUGAUUAAUAGGGAUAGUUGGGGCAUUAGUAUUCAAUUGUCAGAGGUGAAAUUCUUGGAUUUAUUGAAGACUAACUACUGCGAAAGCAUUUGCCAAGGAUGUUUUCAUUAAUCAAGAACGAAAGUUAGGGGAUCGAAGACGAUCAGAUACCGUCGUAGUCUUAACCAUAAACUAUGCCGACUAGGGAUCGGAUGAUGUUAAUUUUUUAAUGACUCAUUCGGCGCCUUACG